This is a non-coding RNA of Hydra vulgaris (swiftwater hydra), 923 nucleotides long. NCBI's taxonomy places the organism in Eukaryota, Metazoa, Cnidaria, Hydrozoa, Anthoathecata, Hydridae. The record is from RefSeq and is a predicted model, not a curated record.
UUAUGAUCCCAUUAUUGCUCACAGUGCAUAUGACGGACUUAAUUCUAAAAUUUUAUGCAUUACUGAUUGUGCAUCAAAUAAAAAAACAGCCAAGUAUUGUACCGAACUCUUUUGUAAUGUCAUUAAAGAUCUUAAAGAAACAUACAAUAAAGAAGUAUUUGCUGUGGUAACAGAUAAUGAAAAUAAGAUGAAAAAAAUGAGGGAUUCAAUCAAAGAAACGUAUCCAAAUCUUUUAACAUAUGGGUGUUCUGCACAUUAUUUAAACCUUUUAGAAAAAGAAGUAACACACCCAGAUGUCAUCAAACAUGUGGUUGAAGUGCAGAAAUAUUUUCGUAAUACACAUCAACCGCAUGGAUGGUUGCGUGAGAAAGGAGGGCAUAUGCCUCAGUUACCAAACGAUACUCGAUGAAACUCCCAAAUUGACUGUAUAGAAACAUACAUAAAAAACUACCAAAUUUAUGUAGAAAUAGUAGAUAAUCAUGAUAUACCUAUCAAAAUCAGAAAAAUUAUUGAAAAUCGAGCAAUAUUUAGAGAAGCUAACAGUCUUCAAACCCAACUCAAAAUAUUUGGUGUUGUUUUAGAUCAAAUGCAAAGUGACAGCUGUCACCUAUCCGAAUGUGUUGAGUUGUGGCUCUCACUUUUGAAUAACCCUGAACUAAGUCAUUACCACACAGCUAUCAAAAAGAGAUGUAAUGAUGCUAUGACACCUAUCCAUUAUCUUGCGACCAAUCCUCGCUUUUUGGGUAAAAAUAAGUUUUGCUUAAAAAAAAAAUUGUUUUGAAAAAUUUCUGAAUUUUUUUUUUAUAGGCAAAAACCUGCCGAUUGAAAAUGAAGAUGAGGCUGAAGAAUGGCUUUACAAUCAUUAUCCUGAUUUUGUACCUGGGUUGAUUUUGCUUAAAUUAAAGGAUUGUGAUGCAUUUUCU